Molecule: transfer RNA, 82 nt
Filed under: Saccharomonospora marina XMU15
Lineage: Bacteria; Bacillati; Actinomycetota; Actinomycetes; Pseudonocardiales; Pseudonocardiaceae
Also listed under: 2 other names
Rfam family: tRNA
About the family: Transfer RNA (tRNA) molecules are approximately 80 nucleotides in length.
Source: Rfam by way of RNAcentral
GGCGGGUUGCCCGAGCGGCCAAAGGGAUCUGACUGUAAAUCAGACGGCUCUGCCUUCGGGGGUUCGAAUCCCUCACCCGCCA